AACGAACGCUGGCGGCGCGCCUAAUACAUGCAAGUCGAGCGAGAAGACGUAGCAAUACGUUUGUAAAGCGGCGAACGGGUGAGGAAUACAUGGGUAACCUACCCUCGAGUGGGGAAGUAACUAGCCGAAAGGUUAGCUAAUACCGCGUACGCUCCUUGGACUUCGGUUCAGGGAGGAAAGCGAUACCGUGGGUAUCGCGCUCUUGGAUGGGCUCAUGUCCUAUCAGCUUGUUGGUGAGGUAACGGCUCACCAAGGCUUCGACGGGUAGCUGGUCUGAGAGGACGAUCAGCCACACUGGCACUGCGACACGGGCCAGACUCCUACGGAGGCAGCAGUAAGGAAUAUUGCGCAAUGGGCGAAAGCCUGACGCAGCGACGCCGCGUGGGGGA
Molecule: ribosomal RNA, 389 nt
Filed under: uncultured bacterium
Lineage: Bacteria
Description: bacterial SSU rRNA
Rfam family: Bacterial small subunit ribosomal RNA
Source: RNAcentral